RNAcentral lists this unclassified non-coding RNA (209 nucleotides) under fungal sp. RNAcentral describes it as "partial contains small subunit ribosomal RNA, internal transcribed spacer 1, and 5.8S ribosomal RNA". The stretch from base 1 to 46 matches the Rfam family "Eukaryotic small subunit ribosomal RNA", at positions 1786 to 1831 of the family's 1831-position model. RNAcentral also lists the same sequence under 5 other names. Lineage: Eukaryota; Fungi. The record is from RNAcentral.
AAGUCAUAACAAGGUUUCCGUAGGUGAACCUGCGGAAGGAUCAUUAAUAGUGCCCUCUGAUGCAAAUCAUUGGGUUAGAUCUGCUCUCUUCGCAAGAAGAGGGUUUCCAUACACACCGUGAACUGUGGCUUCGGCCAUCACAAACUGUUAGUAAUGAAUGUAAUAUCAUAACAAAAACAAAACUUUUAACAACGGAUCUCUUGGCUCUC